UUAUAAUAAUACCCCCAGUUGCUACUGACGUCCAAGUACCCGAAUACCUGUAGAUUGUCACAUCAACAUGAAAGACAGAUCGAGUGAGUAAUAACCCUAUCAAUUAAAGCUGUACUUUAAUAACAUUACCCGAGGGUUUAAAAAACAAAUUCACGGCUUUUAGCAAAAUAUUUUAAUUAAACCAGCACUACUUGAAUGAAUCAACCAGGUUUUGAGAUUCACAUGAGAGUAUAGUAGUAUAUUUUACAAUAAAAUGCAUAAUUAAAAAGUACUACAAGCAUGGCAGACGGUCUGAUUGUUAUAUAGAGGGGUCAGUGUCAUAGGUUACUUCGGCUCAAGAACAUUUCGUCCCACACCAAAAGUCAAUUUUGCUUAACAAAAAUGGCUCCAUUGCCUUGUGAUUUUUCUCUUUAGAGUUUAGACUAUCUUUUAAAUUAAAGAUCUUGUCAUCAUUUUAUUGUCAUCUUGUACUGAGAGUAUUUUUUUUCUUCUUAUUAUUAUAUUCAAAGUCUUAAUUCGCUGAUCGGAUAGACAUAAGCUUGCAGUACACAUUCUACAGUAGUUCACCGACAUCACAACUCUGUCUGGCCAACCUAUCGCUGAACAGUGUAUAUCAUUAAAUGAAGAAAAAAAUGAAAUGUGUUUCUGUCUUUACUAAAGACUAACCAUUCUAACCUUUAAACUAAUACGUUCUUUAUGGCUGUGUAUAUUUUUAUGCUUGUUAUUGAAUGCAAAUUUGUAACUUAAUCUUUAAUUUUGUUAUAGUUUCUUUUGCGGAGAGAAAGAAAGUAAGGAAAUAAAACAAAGGGGUUGGCAAAAGGAUUUGUCAGAGAGUAGACGGGUUUGCGAUAUCAGCUUCCAAAGGGAGUUAAUUGUAUAUUGUGACUAUAUUACAUGUGCAAAAGUUUUAAGUGUUCAAGAAAUAAACAUAUCGGCAAGGCUAACCAGCGUUCUUAACUAAUGAAAAUAUGAUUGGCAAAUGCUUUCGCAGUUGUUCGUCUUGCGAUGAUCCAAGAAUUUCACCUCUAGCACCGCAAUUCGGAUGCCCCCAUCUGUCCCUAAUAAAUAUACGUCCUGUUCCGAAAACAAGCAAAUAUAGAACCGAGAUCGUCUUCGAUUUUUCUAUGCAGUCUGUCGAGCCUGCUUUCAAUACUCUUCAAAAAAAUACUCAAUUUCUUCGAAGUAAUCGUUCCGGCCGCCCAUAACGCUCAUCGAAGAUUUUUUGUUGUUGAUCUUGGAAGGGAGAGUGCUUCCACCUCAAGGCGAUUUCGCACUAUGGGGGAGGGGGGGGCCAGGGAUUACCACGUACUCUGAACUUAUAUAGGCCCUAUCGGGGGGGGAGAGUACUCUUACCAACCAAGGGCCAUAACCCCUAAUAAUGGCACGUGACUUUUAGCCAAUGGUGUACUACGUGAUCGGAACUGCGCGCCAUUUGCAAAGUUAUGUUUCUACACUUUUCGCAACAGGAAUUAUAAUUAAGCUUCUUCAGCCGUCAAUUCCAAUACUGAUACAUGUGUUUGACUCUUCAAUAACAGUCGUGUUGGCACAGCUGUAGCUAUAGGAGCGAAAGUUUUUGGGUUCAACAUUAUAUUUUACGAUCCUUACCUUGGAGAUGGCAUAGAAAAGUCACUUGGAAUCACUCGUGUGUACACUCUGCAAGAGCUACUUUUCCAAAGUGAUUGUGUUACACUUCACUGCGAUCUUAAUGAACAUAAUCAUCAUCUAAUCAACGACUACACAAUCAAACAGAUGAGACCAGGAGCAUUCCUGAUCAACACCGCUCAGGGAGGACUUGUCGAUGAGCAUGCUUUGGCUGCAGCACUCAAAGAUGGCCGCAUUUGUGCAGCCGCUUUGGAUGUUCAAGAAAAUGAACCAUUUAGCCUCGCCACAAGUCCAUUGAAAGAUUGUCCAAACCUCCUGAUCACCCCUCAUUCAGCCUUCUAUAGUGAACAAAGUGUUUCGGAAUUGAGAGAAAUGGCUGCAGGAGAAGUACGGCGUGCGAUCCUUGGCCGAAUCCCAGACAGCCUACGCAACUUUGUCAACAAGGAAUAUUUUACUCAAACCACAAUUCUUUGGUAACCAUGGUAAAAAUAAAAAAACCUCAUGUCCUGGAAAUUUGUGUUGGUGCAGCAUUUGAAAGGAGCUUGUUGUGGCCGCCUGCAUACAGUGAGCAGAUGAAUAUGUGAAAACAAUUGUAUUGGGCAAAAUGAACACAUAAAAUAUUGCUUCAGUAUAUAGCUGAUAGUGUAAUUCUAGUUUGUUUUUUGUUUUUUUCUUCUUCAUUGGGGAAAGAAUAUUCAUAAUAAAUAUAACUGGAAGCUAAAUCAUUACCUGUCUCCACUUGAAAUAUGAAAGAUCAGACAAAUUGAAACCUGUAUGUGUUUUGAAGAGGUACAGAUCAACACAGCAAGUCCAUUACCAUGACUGUGUGUCUGCUUUGGCAAUGACUUAAAAUUUAUUUAGAUGGUUUGUGGCUUUCUGUUUUAUAUUGUUUUAUGACAUACUAAUUGUGAACAUUAAAGACUAAUUCAGAUUAUAAAUAGUGGUUUGGUUCGCUAUGUACAUUCAUUGCUCCUGCUAAAGACUUCUAUGGGACUAAAAAAAAAAUCAACUUUUUUUCUUUUUGUAUGGAAGUUUGAUCAUCAGUUACAUUGUUUGCAAUAUAUAUAUAUACAUGAGGGUGAUGCUCACUCAGCAUGGCUGGUCAUUAUUGAUUUUAGAAGAAGGUAGAUAAACUGAAGAAGCAAUUUUCAAAAGUACACUAAAUGAACCUUUUUAUAUAUAUAUACCACAAAGAAUUAAUACAGUGAUUGCAGCAUGAGAACUGAGUAGUUGCAUACAAAUGACCUUGUGCCAUAGGACUUACCAAGAAAAUAUCUCUGUGGAUGGGAAAAGAAACACUAAACUUUACUCAAUGUAUGCGUCUCAUUCACGUUCAUGUAACCAAGCCUGCUCAUUCGAAGCACGCAGAUAAUCGCAAAAUUUGUAUAGCGCAUGCUCAUACUCGUAAGGAGCAUACUUGAAGAGCUCCAUGUGGGGCAACUGUUCAGAUUUUAUGAAUAUAAAUUCCAGUUCCUCCACCACUGUCACCAGCUGAACUUUUGGGACUACUAGCCCAUGGUUGGCAUGAAGUAUACUUGCUUAACAGUAGGGUCUCUUAUUGUUCCCUCGCGUUGCCGUAAUCAUUUCUUCACAUUCAGCACACAUUUUCCGUUGUAUCUUCUUGGUGGUAUAAACAGCAAUGUAAGUCACAAUAUUUUGUGCAGGAACUGAUUUCCUCGGCAGAAUUAAUGAAAGCAAACUGGGAGAUUUUGCAUAUUUCGAGUUCCCCGCGUCUUGCAUCAGAAGUCGCCAGAGAUGUGUGCGCGGGCUGAGUACUGAAGUGUAGGGUCAAGAAAAAGUGAUCUCGAGUCCAUCCACCAUCACCUGGCGCACAAAGAAUCGAAAUUGUGAUAACUUGGGUUAUCUCACUGCCCUCCUUUUCCUCCUAUUACAGAAAAAAGGUUUUCUAUAAAGUCUGUUAGUGUGGAGAAAUUUAACCUCAUUCGUUUUAAGAUCGUCCCGAAGUUAAAAUCAUAGUGAUUUUCCAUCUCAUAUAUGAAAGUGGUUUUGAUGCAUUGCUCUGAAGCCAUGUAAGUUGCGUGCAAGAACUGGACGUUUCUAGGAUGGCAUGACAUCGUUUGGCUGCUACGCUUGCUGUUGAACGCAUUAAACAGUUGAUCCACGCGUUUAACACAAAAAGUACUCUUACCAACCAAGGGCCAUAACCCCUAAUAAUGGCACGUGAUCGGAACUGCGCGCCAUUUGCAAAGUUAUGUUUCUAAACUUUUCGCAACAGGAAUUAUAAUUAAGCUUCUUCAGCCGUCAGUUCCAAUACUGAUACAUGUGUUGGACUCUUCAAUAACAUUAGCUUAAAGCACGUAGUCAGGGGAAUACUGUCUGUGCUAUUUUCAACUGAAUUAGCCCGGUGUUACAACUUGAAUGAUCUGAAGGGACUGAAGAACCACCCCUUUAUUUUACGAACAGUUAAGGCAUCUGUCCUUAAUUGAAGUUGGACAAGGACUCAGAAGACCCAGAAUCUGUCCUUAAUUGAAGUUGGACAAGGACUCAGAAGACCCAGAAUCUUUCCUUAAUUGAAGUUGGACAAGGACUCCGAAGACCCAGCAUCUGUCCUUAAUUGAAGUUGGACAAGGACUGAGAAGACCC
Molecule: unclassified non-coding RNA, 4206 nt
Filed under: Pomacea canaliculata
Lineage: Eukaryota; Metazoa; Mollusca; Gastropoda; Architaenioglossa; Ampullariidae
Description: c-terminal-binding protein 2-like, transcript variant X50
Source: RNAcentral